RNAcentral lists this ribosomal RNA (260 nucleotides) under Trypanosoma congolense type Savannah. RNAcentral describes it as "partial 18S ribosomal RNA". The record is from RNAcentral. Lineage: Eukaryota; Euglenozoa; Kinetoplastea; Trypanosomatida; Trypanosomatidae.
UUUGUUGCGCCCCGCACGGCCACGAAAGAGGGGGGGUGGGGGAGACGACGUGUUCUUAUGCCGCCCGCCCCUCAUUGUGUGUGCGCUGGCUCGCUUUUCUCCCUCUUCUUUUUCCCCUCAUCCUCGUCUUUUCACACCCUCCCACGCGUGUUGGGAGAGUGGAGGAGGAAGGGUGUGUGUUUGGAAGAAGAAGGGGCAGUGGGGGAAAUAUGGUGAGUGCUCGAGUGCGUACGCAGGUGUGUUGGCCUACGGCUCUCACA